UACGUAGGGUGCAAGCGUUGCCCGGAUUUAUUGGGCGUAAAGGGCGCGUAGGUGGCGGGACAAGCGUGCGGUGAAAGCCUGGGGCUCAACCCCGGGUCGGCCGUGCGAACUGUUUUGCUUGAGCACUGUAGAGGCAGGCGGAAUUCCGGGUGUAGCGGUGGAAUGCGUAGAGAUCCGGAAGAACACCGGUGGCGAAGGCGGCCUGCUGGGCAGUAGCUGACACUGAGGCGCGACAGCGUGGGGAGCAAACAGG
This 253-nucleotide ribosomal RNA is filed under the name uncultured bacterium. RNAcentral's name for it is "partial 16S ribosomal RNA". It matches the Rfam family "Bacterial small subunit ribosomal RNA", at positions 524 to 776 of the family's 1533-position model. The record is from RNAcentral.